This 622-nucleotide ribosomal RNA is filed under the name uncultured Clostridium sp. Its description in RNAcentral is "bacterial SSU rRNA". It matches the Rfam family "Bacterial small subunit ribosomal RNA", at positions 67 to 714 of the family's 1533-position model. Lineage: Bacteria; Bacillati; Bacillota; Clostridia; Eubacteriales; Clostridiaceae. The record is from RNAcentral.
CGGGGUGAUUUCGAUCGGAUUAGCGGCGAACGGGUGAGUAACGCGUGAGGAACCUGCCUCUUACAACGGGAUAGCCUCGGGAAACCGGGAUUAAUACCGUAUAAGACUCCGACACCUCCUGGUGAUGAAGUCAAAGCGUUAGCGGUAAGAGAUGGCCUCGCGUCUGAUUAGUUAGUUGGCGGGGUAACGGCCCACCAAGACGACGAUCAGUAACCGGCCUGAGAGGGUGAACGGUCACAUUGGAACUGAGACACGGUCCAAACUCCUACGGGAGGCAGCAGUGGGGAAUCUUGCACAAUGGGGGAAACCCUGAUGCAGCGACGCCGCGUGAGCGAUGAAGGUUUUCGAAUCGUAAAGCUCUGUCCUAUGGGAAGAUAAUGACGGUACCAUGGGAGGAAGCCCCGGCUAACUACGUGCCAGCAGCCGCGGUAAUACGUAGGGGGCGAGCGUUGUCCGGAAUUACUGGGCGUAAAGGGUUCGCAGGCGGCAUGGCAAGUCCGAUGUAAAAGGCGAAGGCUCAACCUUCGUAAGCAUCGGAAACUGUCAAGCUUGAGUGAAGGAGAGGCAAGUGGAAUUCCUAGUGUAGCGGUGGAAUGCGUAGAUAUUAGGAGGAAUACCGGUG